UGCUGACGAGCGGCGGACGGGUGAGUAAUGUCUGGGGAUCUGCCUGAUGGAGGGGGAUAACUACUGGAAACGGUAGCUAAUACCGCAUAACGUCGCAAGACCAAAGAGGGGGACCUUCGGGCCUCUUGCCAUCGGAUGAACCCAGAUGGGAUUAGCUAGUAGGUGGGGUAAUGGCUCACCUAGGCGACGAUCCCUAGCUGGUCUGAGAGGAUGACCAGCCACACUGGAACUGAGACACGGUCCAGACUCCUACGGGAGGCAGCAGUGGGGAAUAUUGCACAAUGGGCGCAAGCCUGAUGCAGCCAUGCCGCGUGUGUGAAGAAGGCCUUCGGGUUGUAAAGCACUUUCAGCGAGGAGGAAGGCAUUGAGGUUAAUAACCUUGGUGAUUGACGUUACU
This 397-nucleotide ribosomal RNA is filed under the name Cedecea davisae. RNAcentral describes it as "bacterial SSU rRNA". It matches the Rfam family "Bacterial small subunit ribosomal RNA", at positions 86 to 479 of the family's 1533-position model. Lineage: Bacteria; Pseudomonadati; Pseudomonadota; Gammaproteobacteria; Enterobacterales; Enterobacteriaceae. The record is from RNAcentral.